This 253-nucleotide ribosomal RNA is filed under the name uncultured bacterium. RNAcentral describes it as "partial 16S ribosomal RNA". It matches the Rfam family "Bacterial small subunit ribosomal RNA", at positions 524 to 776 of the family's 1533-position model. The record is from RNAcentral.
UACGGAGGGGGCUAGCGUUGUUCGGAAUUACUGGGCGUAAAGCGCGCGUAGGCGGACCUGCAAGUCGGGGGUGAAAGCCCGAGGCUCAACCUCGGAACUGCCUUCGAUACUGCGGGUCUCGAGUCCGGGAGAGGUGAGUGGAAUUCCUAGUGUAGAGGUGAAAUUCGUAGAUAUUAGGAAGAACACCAGUGGCGAAGGCGGCUCACUGGCCCGGUACUGACGCUGAGGAACGAAAGCGUGGGGAGCGAACAGG